UAAAAAUCAAUAUAGUUCACCUGUAUAAUCGCGGGGAUAUGGCCCGCGAGUAUCUACCAGACUGCCGUAACGAGGUCUGACUACAGGUUUAGGCUUUACAGGU
This 103-nucleotide non-coding RNA is filed under the name Peptoclostridium acidaminophilum. RNAcentral describes it as "Guanine sequence". It matches the Rfam family "Purine riboswitch aptamer". From Rfam's summary of the family: Riboswitches are metabolite binding domains within certain messenger RNAs that serve as precision sensors for their corresponding targets. Allosteric rearrangement of mRNA structure is mediated by ligand binding, and this results in modulation of gene expression. RNAcentral also lists the same sequence under 1 other name. Lineage: Bacteria; Bacillati; Bacillota; Clostridia; Peptostreptococcales; Peptoclostridiaceae. The record is from RNAcentral.